This is a long non-coding RNA of Teleopsis dalmanni, 2285 nucleotides long. RefSeq lists it as uncharacterized. The record is from RefSeq and is a predicted model, not a curated record. The transcript is spliced from 3 exons. NCBI's taxonomy places the organism in Eukaryota, Metazoa, Arthropoda, Insecta, Diptera, Diopsidae.
UCUAAAGGUGUUCUUCACACACACAUCGGUAUAUUGCGCCAAUGAACACCCCAUUGCAACUUCGAGGAAUUACACUUCUGCUGAUCUUUAGGUCACAGCAACUGUUUCGAAAAUGCAAAUCCACAUUGAAUGAUUGGUGAUGAAAAGUAGAUCAGAUUCACUUACGACAACGUUAUGUGAACCACGAAAAUGGUCGUGGUCGAAUCACAAUAAGACGGCUGAAACGAUGACCAAGCCAGGGUUGACGGCCAGGAAAGUCCUCCUCUACGGCAAAACUUCUAACUGGAACUGUACUGUCCAUCUGAACAAUUGCACCGUCUGAAGAAAGCAAUUGCCUUCUUCUUCUGUAUGAAAGCAAUUGUGUUCCAUCAGGAUAAUGCUAGACCACACACAUCGAUAAUGACUCGCCAAAAGCUCCGGGAGCUUAGUUGAUAAGUUUUUAUACACCCAGCUUAUAGUCUAGACCUGGCACCAAUCUGUUUUGAUUACCAUCUGUUUUUAUACAUGCCGAACGAUGGAUGAUUCUUCCGGUUAAAAAUUUGCUUUAACAGAGGCUAGUGAUUAUCGACUAUUUCAAUUUUAUUCAAAUAGGAACGAGGCCUUUUAUGAGAGAAACAUAAUGAAAUUACUUUCGAAAUGACCACAAGCUAUCGAAAAACAGUGCAUGUAUGUGCUAAAUCGGAUCAUUCUAACUAUGGUGCUAUAAAAGGGAAUUGUGUGGACCGCCAAUAGAGGUCAUAAAUAAUCAUCGUCCUGUUGUGUCAUUCACCGGCGGCUGGAGAGUGCGGUGUACACCGGCACCUAUAAUUCCCUAAAAUGAAUGAAUAGUUUUGAUUUAUAAUAUAUAUGAAUAGUCGAAAAAGUUGUCGUCUAAAAUGGAACUACUAAUACUUUUCUCAUGAACAUAUAUAUAUAUACGAAUACAAGUACGAGUACGAGUACAUGUGUAAUCUGUGGCGGGGGAUGUGCAAUAUAUGGUCGAGGUAUCCCCAUGUUUAUAUACGUACACUUGUAUGCGGCACUAAUUUGCCUCACAUACAGGCUUUGCAAUGUAAAUUUGCUGCAAAAUUAUGCGCAAACCAAUGGCAGGUUUUGAUAUAUGGAACUGUCCUGCUGUAUUGUGAUUUAGUGUAAAGGAUAAGGUGUUAAAAACACAGACAAAACGUAUUUGCAGUGGCAUUAUACCUAAAAUUCAAUACCGGCUCGAAUGCUUACCCAUACAUGAGAGCAUAUUUUCCGACUAGCACUGAGUGGGUUUGGAUGUAGGUAGAGACUAGUGCAGCUAUGAUUGUGUGAAGAUGAUGCUUGUGCGUUCCAGAGGAAGUGAUUAAUGUGUCGCCGAGGUGGAUGACAGCGGUUGUUUGAUUUUAAAUUGGCGAUUAAACAAAAUUGGCAGGCAAAGUAUUAUAUUGGAAAGCAAUUAAAUUUGUCUUUGAACUGGAUUAAUAUGACAUUCGGCAUGUUUAAUUUGGUUUCUCUUUUAUUUUCUCAUAUAAUACGGGCAUAAACAUGGACUCGCUUACUAUUGACCAUUUGACACAUCAUUUUGUUAACUGUAAAGUGGCUUAAUAUAAUAGCCUGUUACAUACAAAACCGAUUUAAAAAUGUUUUAUCACAACACUUGCUCACCCAAUAGCAAUUCCUAGAAUUUAUAUAUUUCGUCGGACAUUAAAAAGCGUUUCAAAGUCGCCUUCUCUAUGUGCUAAGUAUUAUGUAAUCGCAUUACCAUGACAAUAAAAUGUAGCACUCUAAGAACGUAACAGAAACAUAAAAUAUGACCAAAACUGGGAUGUACAAAAAACAAAAAAAAAAAUAAAUGAAAAAUAAAAAAACAAGGAAGAAGGAGCGAAAACAAAAACUUAAUCUAAUGCAAAUCCUCAAAACAAUUUACAUAUUUUUCAAAUCGUAUAAGACCAAAAAACAUGUCGGCAGAUGCUCCUCGGUACUGUAAGUGUGAAAAACUAUUUUAUUGCUGCCACAGUUAAAACCGAAACCGGGGAAUCGUUAAGGCCGUUGCGCCCGCAAGUAUGCAGCAAAAAAAAUUGUCUCACAGAAAAAACAGUUUCAGUGUCAGAUUUUGGUCUUUGUCGGCGGCUACGGCCUGGACACACAAAUUUAUGUACUUUAGGUUUCAGUUCAAUGUGCUUGAAUAAUACUAAAAGUACAUAAAAGUUUGAUUUUUGUCAAGUGCGACUUUUGUGCACUUAACAAUGUUCCAAAAUCAAUGAAAACGAUGAGAUAUGUUGUAUUGAAACUAUGAUUUAUUAAAAUAAAUAUAAUUUAAA